This 905-nucleotide ribosomal RNA is filed under the name human gut metagenome. Its description in RNAcentral is "bacterial SSU rRNA". It matches the Rfam family "Bacterial small subunit ribosomal RNA", at positions 8 to 908 of the family's 1533-position model. The record is from RNAcentral.
AGAGUUUGAUCCUGGCUCAGGAUGAACGCUAGCUACAGGCCUAACACAUGCAAGUCGAGGGGCAGCAUGGUGCCAGCUUGCUGGCGCUGAUGGCGACCGGCGCACGGGUGAGUAACGCGUAUCCGACCUACCUUCCGCCCGGGGAUAGCCUUCCGAAAGGGAGAUUAAGACCCGAUGGUGUCAGGUGGCUUCAUGGCAUCCUGACUAAAGGCGACGGCGGGAGCUGGGGAUGCGUCCCAUUAGGCAGUUGGCGGGGUAACGGCCCACCAAACCGACGAUGGGUAGGGGUUCUGAGAGGAAGGCCCCCCACAUUGGAACUGAGACACGGUCCAAACUCCUACGGGAGGCAGCAGUGAGGGAUAUUGGUCAAUGGCCGGAAGGCUGAACCAGCCAAGUAGCGUGGAGGAUGACUGCCCUACGGGUUGUAAACUCCUUUUAUGCGGGAAUAAAGUCGGGCACGUGUGCCCGUUUGCAUGUACCGCAUGAAUAAGCAUCGGCUAACUCCGUGCCAGCAGCCGCGGUAAUACGGAGGAUGCAGGCGUUAUCCGGAUUUAUUGGGUUUAAAGGGAGCGCAGACGGGCCUUUAAGUCAGCUGUAAAAUCGCGCGGCUCAACCGCGUGCAGCAGUUGAAACUGGAGGCCUUGAGUGCGGUCGCGGCAGGCGGAACUCGUGGUGUAGCGGUGAAAUGCAUAGAUAUCACGAAGAACUCCGAUUGCGAAGGCAGCAUGCCGCAGCACCACUGACGCUGAUGCUCGAAGGUGCGGGUAUCGAACAGGAUUAGAUACCCUGGUAGUCCGCACGGUAAACGAUGGGCGCUCGCCGUGGGCGAUAUACAGUCCGCGGCUUAGCGAAAGCGUUAAGCGCCCCACCUGGGGAGUACGCCGGCAACGGUGAAACUCAAAGGA